This 393-nucleotide ribosomal RNA is filed under the name uncultured bacterium. RNAcentral describes it as "partial 16S ribosomal RNA". It matches the Rfam family "Bacterial small subunit ribosomal RNA", at positions 338 to 729 of the family's 1533-position model. The record is from RNAcentral.
CCUACGGAGGCAGCAGUGAGGAAUACUGGUCAAUGGACGCAAGUCUGAACCAGCCAUGCCGCGUGCAGGAUGACGGCUCUAUGAGUUGUAAACUGCUUUUGUACGAGGGUAAACCCCGAUACGUGUAUCGGGUUGAAAGUAUCGUACGAAUAAGGAUCGGCUCACUCCGUGCCAGCAGCCGCGGUAAUACGGAGGAUCCGACCGUUAUCCGGAUUUAUUGGGGUUAAAGGGUGCGUAGGCGGGUUGAUAAGGUAGAGGUGAAAUGUCGGGGCUCAACCCCGAAACUGCCUGUAAAACUGUGGAACUAGAGAGUGGGUGCGGUAGGCGGAAUGUGUGGUGUAGCGGUGAAAUGCAUAGAGAUCAUACAGAACACCGAUUGCGAAGGCAGCUUAC